GAUGAACGCUGACAGAAUGCUUAACACAUGCAAGUCUUUGGCGAAGCUGUGCUUGCACAGCCUAGCCAAGGCGGACGGGUGAGUAACGCGUAAGGAACUUGCCCUGCAGUCAGGGAUAACAGACGGAAACGACUGAUAAGACCUGGUAAAGUCAGGCGGACUCAUGUCCAGCCUGAUGAAAAGUGAUGCUGCAGGAGAGCCUUGCGUCCUAUUAGCUUGUUGGUGGGGUAACGGCCCACCAAGGCGAUGAUAGGUAGCCGGCCUGAGAGGGUGGACGGCCACAAGGGGACUGAGAUACGGCCCUUACGCCUACGGGAGGCAGCAGUGGGGAAUAUUGGACAAUGGGGGCAACCCUGAUCCAGCAAUUCUGUGUGCACGAUGAAGGUUUUCGGAGUGUAAAGUGCUUUCAGCAGGGAAGAAAAAAAUGACGGUACCUGCAGAAGAAGCGACGGCUAAAUACGUG
This 463-nucleotide ribosomal RNA is filed under the name uncultured bacterium. Its description in RNAcentral is "partial 16S ribosomal RNA". It matches the Rfam family "Bacterial small subunit ribosomal RNA", at positions 28 to 507 of the family's 1533-position model. The record is from RNAcentral.